RNAcentral lists this ribosomal RNA (345 nucleotides) under uncultured archaeon. RNAcentral's name for it is "bacterial SSU rRNA". It matches the Rfam family "Archaeal small subunit ribosomal RNA", at positions 691 to 1035 of the family's 1478-position model. The record is from RNAcentral.
CCGACGGUGAGGGAUGAAGCCCUGGGGCGCAAACGGGAUUAGAUACCCCGGUAGUCCAGGGUGUAAACGCUGCGGGCUUGGUGUUGGGGGUCCUUAGUGGGCGCCCAGUGCCGGAGAGAAGUUGUUAAGCCUGCUGCUUGGGGAGUAUGUCCGCAAGGAUGAAACUUAAAGGAAUUGGCGGGGGAGCACCGCAACGGGAGGAGCGUGCGGUUCAAUUGGAUUCAACGCCGAAAAACUCACCAGGAGCGACGGAUAUAUGAAGGUCAAGCUGAUGACUUUACCUGAUUUUCCGAGAGGUGGUGCAUGGCCGUCGUCAGUUCGUACCGUAAGGCGUUCUCUUAAGUG